This 423-nucleotide ribosomal RNA is filed under the name uncultured soil bacterium. RNAcentral's name for it is "bacterial SSU rRNA". It matches the Rfam family "Bacterial small subunit ribosomal RNA", at positions 26 to 430 of the family's 1533-position model. The record is from RNAcentral.
AGAUUGAACGCUGGCGGCAGGCCUAAUACAUGCAAGUCGAGCGGCAGCACGGGUACUUGUACCUGGUGGCGAGCGGCGGACGGGUGAGUAAUGCCUAGGAAUCUGCCUGAUAGGUGGGGGGAUAACGCUCGGAAACGGACGCUAAUACCGCAUACGUCCUACGGGAGAAAGCAGGGGACCUUCGGGCCUUGCGCUAUCAGAUGAGCCUAGGUCGGAUUAGCUAGUUGGUGGGGUAAUGGCUCACCAAGGCGACGAUCCGUAACUGGUCUGAGAGGAUGAUCAGUCACACUGGAACUGAAGACAACGGUACCAGACCUCCGACGGGAGGCAGCAGGUAGGGAAUAUUGGACAAGUAGGGACGAAAAGCCUGAUCCCGAGCCAUCGCCGCGUGUGUAGAAGUAAGGUCUUCGGUAAUUGUAAAAG